AUUAUAAUUUAAUUUUUCCCUCCCUAAAAAAAUUUUCUGCCUUCGCCACUACUUUUAUCCAAACCUAAACCUUUGCUCCAUUUGUAGGCGACUAACCACUCCCUCCCCUUCGAACAAUAACUCCCUUGGGUGAUUUACUGGUUUUGAUGGCUCCUCCAGACAAAUCUCGUGGUGGAGGGCCUGAUGUUGUACAAUGUCUCCAUGGAAGUCUCCUGCUGCAGGAUGAGAGUUGGUUGUUGCGGUUACAAAUGUUGGAUGGUUCGGCAGUGCCACUGCCUCCUUAGGCAUUGGAUUUUAUUUUUUUUAUGUGUUUUAUGCUUAGUUUUUCCUUAUUUCUCUUCGUUCUUUGUUUGCUUGUAAGUAAGACUUCCUUGCAUUUGUUCUGAAUGGCCUAGGGCUUGAAUUCAGGAGAUUUUUCGCUUCCAUAAAAGAAAAGGAUUCCAUCAUUUCAUA
Long non-coding RNA from Gossypium arboreum, 453 nucleotides. RefSeq lists it as uncharacterized. The record is from RefSeq and is a predicted model, not a curated record. The transcript has 2 exons. NCBI's taxonomy places the organism in Eukaryota, Viridiplantae, Streptophyta, Magnoliopsida, Malvales, Malvaceae.